AGCACCUCCAGCUAAGCUAGCAUAAUUGCCUCGUGCGCAUUCAAUAUCAGAACGCUUUAUGUACAAGAGCUGUCAGUCAUUUCAUAACAUGGAUGGCUGUAUUAGCAUUUAAAAUUACAUACUCGGCACUGUAAAAGCUGCACCUGAAAUUCAGCUGCAUGUGGAAAAAGCAAGGACCAUCAUUCCGACCAACACAUCUCUAGCCAAGAGGAACACUAUCUGUCACACCCACCAUUGUCCAGCCACAGAUGAGUGCUGUGUCGAGCAGCCUGAAAGCUGAUGCCCUG
Molecule: long non-coding RNA, 287 nt
Organism: Silurus meridionalis
Lineage: Eukaryota; Metazoa; Chordata; Actinopteri; Siluriformes; Siluridae
Exons: 3
Source: RefSeq, a predicted model, not a curated record